GAUGGUGUCCAAAAGAUUCAAAGCUCUCGAGAUAGACUGCAUUAGGGCACUGAACUGAGUAGAAGCAUGUUCACUUGAGCCCCUGAUUUCUCUCCUCAAGAAGUCAAAAUCACUCUCUAAGACUCCUCGAAGUCUGGCCGCCUCUGCAGAUAGGUCUGAGACCUCUAUGAUGCUCUCAUGCGGCUGUGGAUGGGCUAGAGACCUCUAUGAUGCUCUCAUGCGGCUGU
RNAcentral lists this long non-coding RNA (227 nucleotides) under Elaeis guineensis (African oil palm). Its description in RNAcentral is "long non-coding RNA (EGUI_LNC070477)". Lineage: Eukaryota; Viridiplantae; Streptophyta; Magnoliopsida; Arecales; Arecaceae. The record is from RNAcentral.